This 119-nucleotide ribosomal RNA is filed under the name Salmo salar (Atlantic salmon). The record is from RNAcentral. Lineage: Eukaryota; Metazoa; Chordata; Actinopteri; Salmoniformes; Salmonidae.
GCUUACGGCCAUACCAGCCUGGGUACGCCCGAUCUUGUCAGAUCUCGGAAGCUAAGCAGGGUCGGGCCUGGUUAGUACUUGGAUGGGAGACCGCCUGGGAAUACCAGGUGCUGUAAGCA